Molecule: long non-coding RNA, 1742 nt
Filed under: Brassica napus (rape)
Lineage: Eukaryota; Viridiplantae; Streptophyta; Magnoliopsida; Brassicales; Brassicaceae
Description: long non-coding RNA (BNAP_LNC011382)
Source: RNAcentral
AUAUUUAGUCAAAUCUAUUAUAAAUAUAAUUACACAAUAUUGAAAAGUUAUAUACAAACUCAAACAAAAAAAUUAGAAUUACAAUAAAAAAUAAAGUAAAAUAAAAUAAAAAUACACAAUCUACCCGUAACGCCGGGAAAACUAGAAAUAUACAUAAUCAGUAAAUCAAUAAUAUCAGAUUUUAAAAAUGAUAAAAUGAGUUAUUUUAAUUUAUUUUUGAAUAUAACACAAGACUUUGUCGAGUGUAUAAAACAAUAAAUUUAAUACUCAAGGCUUGUAAACAUUUUAAACGACUUGUUAUAAAUUCACAAAUCCGUAACACCAGAUUUUUAAAUAGUUUUGAUAAGCCUUACUUAAAUAAUAUCAAAAUCUAAAUAACUCUUUAAAAAUGCACAAACCAGUAACAGCCCCUUUGCUUUAGUGAGAUAUCAUUUACGUGGCUGACACCACUUUGAAACUCAAAAAGGGCUGUUCGUUUCAUUGAUGCAGGUUCAUGCGACUGCGGCAAUUUUUUUCAAAAUUCUUGUUCGUUUGAUUGACGCCGAGACCUGCGUCUAACCGCCGCGUCUGACGCCGAGACCUGCGUUUGACGUCGUAAAAUUCUGCGGUCGCGACGUAAGUUAUGCGUCUGUUUAAGAUAUUUACAAUUAUAUCCUUAACCUAAUUACUUAUUUAAAAAAAACCUACAUCUAAUUGACGCAGCCGCAGCUCUUCUUCUCCCAUUGACGCAGAACUCUCUCCCAUCUCUCUCGAUCUCGAUCUCUUUCUCCAGUCCAUCUCUCUCGAUCUCGAGCCCUCUCUCCAUCACCAGCCCUCUAUCCACCUCAAGCUCUCUCUCUCCAUCUAUCUCUGUCACGAGCUCUCUCUGUGUGAGAUGACUUGAUGGUGCACAAUGCAAGGAUUCGAGCUCUGUAUCCAUCACACAAACCCAUCUCAAGCUCUCUCUUGAUCUCUGACACUAACCCAUCUUCGAGUUCUCUCUCUCUCAAUCUCCGACCUCGAGCUCUCUCUCUUUGAGGUAAUUAUCUCAUCCUUUUGAAAACUUUGGAUCAGUUCGUUAAGAUUUGGGUUAGUAUUUGACUUGAGAGUUUCAAAUUGUUGCAGUUUCCCUGGAAAAGCUGUUUGAGUGUCAAUCGGUGACUCUGCUGCUCCUGCACAAGCUGAGGUGCAUUUACCUGAAAGCUUGAUUCUUUCUUUGCUCUGUCACGAGCUCUCUCUCACGAGCUCUCUCUCACGAGCUCUCUCUCUCUCGAGCUCAGGCGCUCUCUCCAUCUCUCUCGAUCUCAGGCGCUCUCUCCAUCACGAGCUCUCCAACACAAACUCAUCUCAAGCUCUCUCUCUCUCCAUCCCUAACACAUCUCUCUGUUCUCCGACAAACCCAUCUCGAGUUCUCUCUCUUUGACGUAAUAGUCACAUUCUCUGUUGGAUACUGAUUGUGAUGGCCGUCUCUGUUCUAAAGCAUUGAUGGUAUGUUGCAGAUUCUUCAAGUGUGAGAUGAGUUGAGGUGCAAUGCGAGGAUUGUUCUGAGUCGAUCUCGAGCCCUCUCUCCAUCACCAGCCCUCUAUCCACCUCAAGCUCUCUCUCUCCAUCUAUCUCUGUCACGAGCUCUCUCUGUGUGAGAUGACUUGAUGGUGCACAAUGCAAGGAUUCGAGCUCUGUAUCCAUCACACAAACCCAUCUCAAGCUCUCUCUUGAUCUCUGACACUAACCCAUCUUCGAGUUCUCUCUCUCUCAAUCUCCGA